This 408-nucleotide ribosomal RNA is filed under the name Triticum aestivum (bread wheat). RNAcentral describes it as "partial small subunit ribosomal RNA". The record is from RNAcentral. Lineage: Eukaryota; Viridiplantae; Streptophyta; Magnoliopsida; Poales; Poaceae.
AUGGGCGCGCUGCCGGCGCCGGCCGUUACUUUCUUCUCGUCCCGAGGUCCGAGCAAGGCCAGCCCGGGCAUCCUGAAGCCGGACAUCACGGGGCCCGGCAUGAACAUACUCGCGGCGUGGUCGCCGAGCGAGUCGCACACGGAGUUCUCCGACGGGGGCGUCGGCCUCUCUUUCUUCGUGGAGUCUGGCACGUCCAUGUCGACGCCGCACCUGAACGGCAUCGCCGCACUCAUCAAGAGCCUGCACCCGGACUGGUCACCGGCGGCGAUCAAAUCCUCCAUCAUGACGACGUCGGACGCAGUGGACCGCACCGGCGUGCCCCUCAAGGACGAGCAGUACCGCCUCGCCACCUUCUACGCCAUGGGCGCGGGCUACGUCAACCCCGCGCUCGCCUUUGACCCGGCCUAG